Molecule: unclassified non-coding RNA, 723 nt
Filed under: Hevea brasiliensis (rubber tree)
Lineage: Eukaryota; Viridiplantae; Streptophyta; Magnoliopsida; Malpighiales; Euphorbiaceae
Source: RNAcentral
UUAUAUCCGGUGAAAUUUUUUUAUCAUCAUUAAUACACAAGUUACAGGCAGAAGUAAGACGGAUAUAAACAAAGGGAGUAUGAAAAUAAAAUAAAAUCAACAAUAUUCAUCUGGUUUGAUCUGAGCUCCAAGGCUUGGGGAGGAGGAGUACUAUUUAGAAGUGUCCAUGCUACCUUCCUUAAUCUCUAUGUCCUUAACAGCAGCACUCAAUGAUGAAGAUGAAUCAGACCUUCCAUCAUUUCCCACCAGAUCCUCAUCGUCUGAUGCUUCUUCGCCCUUUUUACGGAGUUCUUUGACUCUCCGAUACUCAUCAUAAUGUGCUCGUCUGUGGUCCUUGAAGUUUUUAACCUUCCUUGAACCAGAAUCUGCAUCAUCUUGGUCCAUGACAUCGGUUUCAUCCUCAGAUGACGUCCAGCCAGACCGUCGGAAUUUAUUCUUACUGGAAGAAGCCAUCUCAUUCAAUGCACUGCGUAUGGCUUCUGCAUGUACUGCAUCACCAUUGCCUUCCUCAAAACUACCCCGUUUAGGAGAUAAAGAACCAUCAUCAUCAAUCAUGCGGUGAUAUGGUGUCUUUGGUUCAGUAAUUUUCUGCCUCACCGGUUUAUUUGCCUCAAUUUCUCCCAAAUUUGCCUCAUCCCACUUUACAUGUCCUCUUUUCAUUUUCUCAAUGUAACUCAAUCCUUCGAGCAGUUGCAGUUAAACUGGUUACCAUAAAAGAGACGA